CUACGGGGCGCACCAGUGAGGAAUUUUGCGCAAUGGGGGAAACCCUGACGCAGCAACGCCGCGUGAGUGAAGAAGGCUUUCGGGUCGUAAAGCUCUGUCAGAUAGGAAAAAAGUUCAUAUGUAAAUAGCUUAUGAAUCUGAUGGUACUAUCAGAGGAAGCACCGGCUAACUCCGUGCCAGCAGCCGCGGUAAUACGGAGGGUGCAAGCGUUGUUCGGAAUUACUGGGCGUAAAGGGCGUGUAGGCGGUAUGGUAAGUCAGAUGUGAAAGCCCUGGGCUUAACUCAGGAAGUGCAUUUGAUACUGCCAUCCUUGAGUAUGGGAGAGGAGAGUAGAAUUCCCAGUGUAGAGGUGAAAUUCGUAGAUAUUGGGAGGAAUACCCGUGGCGAAGGCGACUCUCUGGACCAAUACUGACGCUGAGACGCGAAGGCGUGGGGAGCAAACAGGAUUAGAUACCCCUGUAGUC
Molecule: ribosomal RNA, 464 nt
Filed under: uncultured bacterium
Lineage: Bacteria
Description: partial 16S ribosomal RNA
Rfam family: Bacterial small subunit ribosomal RNA
Source: RNAcentral